This 430-nucleotide ribosomal RNA is filed under the name Bacillota bacterium. RNAcentral's name for it is "Firmicutes bacterium partial 16S ribosomal RNA". It matches the Rfam family "Bacterial small subunit ribosomal RNA", at positions 355 to 776 of the family's 1533-position model. Lineage: Bacteria; Bacillati; Bacillota. The record is from RNAcentral.
UAGGGAAUUGUUCGCAAUGGGCGCAAGCCUGACGACGCAACGCCGCGUGGAGGAUGAAGACCUUCGGGUCGUAAACUCCUUUCGAUCGAGACGAAUGGCCUUCGGGUGAAUAAUCCGGAGGAAUGACGGUACCGAGAGAAGAAGCCCCGGCUAACUCCGUGCCAGCAGCCGCGGUAAUACGGGGGGGGCAAGCGUUGUUCGGAAUUACUGGGCGUAAAGGGCUCGUAGGCGGCCAACUAAGUCAGACGUGAAAUCCCUCGGCUCAACUGGGGAACUGCGUCUGAUACUGGAUGGCUUGAGUGUGGGAGAGGGAUGCGGAAUUCCAGGUGUAACGGUGAAAUGCGUAGAUAUCUGGAGGAACACCGGUGGCGAAGGCGGCAUCCUGGACCCCGACUGACGCUGAGGAGCGAAAGCCAGGGGAGCAAACGGG